Molecule: ribosomal RNA, 396 nt
Filed under: uncultured bacterium
Lineage: Bacteria
Description: partial 16S ribosomal RNA
Rfam family: Bacterial small subunit ribosomal RNA
Source: RNAcentral
AUACGUAGGUGGCAAGCGUUGUCCGGAUUUACUGGGUGUAAAGGGCGUGCAGCAGGGACGGCAAGUCAGAUGUGAAAUCCAUGGGCUUAACCCAUGAACUGCAUUUGAAACUGUCGUUCUUGAGUACCGGAGGGGCAAUCGGAAUUCCUAGUGUAGCGGUGAAAUGCGUAGAUAUUAGGAGGAACACCAGUGGCGAAGGCGGAUUGCUGGACGGCAACUGACGGUGAGGCGCGAAAGUGUGGGGAGCAAACAGGAUUAGAUACCCUGGUAGUCCACACUGUAAACGAUGGAUACUAGGUGUGCGGGGACUGACCCCCUGCGUGCCGGCGUUAGCACAAUAAGUAUCCCACCUGGGGAGUACGAUCGCAAGGUUGAAACUUAAAUGAAUUGGCGGGG